Molecule: ribosomal RNA, 253 nt
Filed under: uncultured bacterium
Lineage: Bacteria
Description: partial 16S ribosomal RNA
Rfam family: Bacterial small subunit ribosomal RNA
Source: RNAcentral
UACGUAGGUCCCAAGCGUUAUCCGGAUUUACUGGGUGUAAAGAGUCUGUAGCAGGUUCUAUAAGUCUAUUUUUAAAGACCUCGGCUCAACUGAGGGAAGGGAAUGGAUACUGUAGAACUGGAGGUUAUGAGGGGUUAGUAGAAUUCCCGGUGGAGGGGUGAAAUCCGUUGAUAUUGGGAGGAAUGCCGAAAGCGAAAGCAGCUAACUAUUAUUAUCCUGACUGUGAGAGACGAAAGCAUGGGUAGCAAACGGG